Molecule: ribosomal RNA, 1071 nt
Filed under: Triticum aestivum (bread wheat)
Lineage: Eukaryota; Viridiplantae; Streptophyta; Magnoliopsida; Poales; Poaceae
Description: partial small subunit ribosomal RNA
Source: RNAcentral
AUGCCCAAAUUCCAUCCAUACCCUCUCUUUCUUCUUCCCUUCUAUCUAUUUGUAUCUUUCUCUUUUUGGUUAAGAGAGAAGAGUAGGAGAGGCAGUCCAGCAGGUCCUGGCUGUUCUCCUUUCCAUUGGGCCGGCCUUCCUAGACCUAGCCUAGCCGGCCACUUAGGCCCAUCGGCCCACCUAACUCCUCUAACCCUAGCCCAACCCCCACUCUCCCUCGUCUCCUCCUCUAGCGCCGCCAGUAGCCCCACGACCGAACCUGCCUCUCCCCUCGAUCCUCACUCGCGCGCGCCCCUCUCUUCCAUCGCCCUCGCUGCCUCCAUCCUCGCGUCGCCUCUCUCCCACGUCUUCUUCUCGCUCUCCCUCUCGAUCUCUCCAGGUCGCCGCCUCCGCACACACGCCCGACCCCGAACGCCUCCUCCUUGCUGCCUCGCAUGUCGCGUGCAGGAGCUCCGCCGCCGCGACUUCUGGCUCUGGCCUCCGCCGGCCGCUCCUUCCCGGCCUCGGCCUCGUCCCCGACUACCCAGGUCGGAGUCCCCACCACUCGCCUUGGACAGGAGGUCCCUCACGGACCCGUGCUUCUGCCCGCCGCCAUCUCCUUCCUGGAGCCCCUCGUCGUCUUCCGCGCCAAGUUCCGAUGCCAGUGCAGCCAAUCACGGUGCCCUGCCUCUCAUCUUCGUUGUUGUCCAGAGCCAUGGAGAGGAGGACAACUCAGGCGCCGACCCCGCCUCCUCUGCUCGCUUGUUGCUCGGUCCUCCUCCGGCAAGAACCCAGCCGCCGCGCCCUGCUGUAGCGCCACCGUCCUCGACCUCACCGUCUUCCUGGCCUCCUCGCGUCCCCUGGCUGUCUCUCUCUGCAGCGAACAGCUGCAGCUCAGUGCCUCGGCACCCCUGCUUCCCCCUCGCCGCCGGCAGCAGCAGCAGCUGCUGUACCCUUUCGACGCGCCCGGACCCUGCUUCUCCUCCGUGCGCCAUGGCCUUGACCCCCUGCUCCACCUCGACGACCUGCCAAGCACCGGUGACCGAAGACCCAAGUUCUCUUCAGAUCGUAAAGAGCGGCAAGUCCAACUAG